GGAGAGGUGGCAGAGUGGUUUAAUGCACAUGUCUGGAGAACAUGUGACUCCGUAAGGGGUCCGUGGGUUCAAAUCCCACCCUCUCCG
This 87-nucleotide transfer RNA is filed under the name Candidatus Omnitrophota bacterium. RNAcentral describes it as "Candidatus Omnitrophica bacterium (aquatic metagenome) tRNA-Ser". It matches the Rfam family "tRNA". Rfam says of the family: Transfer RNA (tRNA) molecules are approximately 80 nucleotides in length. Lineage: Bacteria; Pseudomonadati; Candidatus Omnitrophota. The record is from RNAcentral.